UUGGAGGGCAAGUCUGGUGCCAGCAGCCGCGGUAAUUCCAGCUCCAAUAGCGUAUAUUAAAGUUGUUGCAGUUAAAAAGCUCGUAGUUGAAUUUCGGGGUUCUACCGUUGGUCGGGCUAACCAGUCUGUACUAGCGUGUAGAAUUCCUACCUUCUGGGGAACCAUCAUGUUAUUAAUUUAGCGUGGUGGGAAACCAGGACCUUUACCUGAAAAAUUAGAGUGUUCAAAGCAGGCUUACGUCUGAAUACAUUAGCAUGGAAUAAUAAAAUAGGACGGUGGUCCUGUUUUGUUGGUUUCUGAAUCACCGUAAUGAUUAAUAGGAUAGUUGGGGGCAUAGUAUUAAUUGACAGAGGUGAAAUUCUUGGAUUUAUUGAAGACUAACUUCUGCGAAAGCAUUUGCCAAGGAUGUUUUCAUUAAUCAAGAACGAAAGUUAGGGGAUCGAAGACGAUCAGAUACCGUCGUAGUCUUAACCAUAAACUAUGCCGACUAGGGAUCGGACGAUGUUAAAUUUUAUUGACUCGUUCGGCGCCUUACGGGAAAC
RNAcentral lists this ribosomal RNA (542 nucleotides) under Scutellospora calospora. RNAcentral describes it as "SSU rRNA". It matches the Rfam family "Eukaryotic small subunit ribosomal RNA", at positions 548 to 1098 of the family's 1831-position model. Lineage: Eukaryota; Fungi; Glomeromycota; Glomeromycetes; Diversisporales; Gigasporaceae. RNAcentral also lists the same sequence under 1 other name. The record is from RNAcentral.